AGGUAGUAAGUGGCUUUAUCCGAAAAUAAGUGACUUUGAGCCGAGUACAAAGCACCGUGAGCUGCCGGUCGUUUCGGCAGACAUUACGGUUAAAUUUAGUCCACACAAUAUGAGCGUUUUGCCGCGAGGAAAGUUAAGACUAGGCAACAAAACGACUAGUUA
Molecule: long non-coding RNA, 162 nt
Organism: Sander lucioperca (pikeperch)
Lineage: Eukaryota; Metazoa; Chordata; Actinopteri; Perciformes; Percidae
Exons: 3
Source: RefSeq, a predicted model, not a curated record